This 411-nucleotide ribosomal RNA is filed under the name Ischnocnema parva. RNAcentral describes it as "partial 16S ribosomal RNA". It matches the Rfam family "Bacterial large subunit ribosomal RNA", at positions 1846 to 2472 of the family's 2925-position model. The record is from RNAcentral. Lineage: Eukaryota; Metazoa; Chordata; Amphibia; Anura; Brachycephalidae.
UAAGAGGUCCAGCCUGCCCAGUGACUCUAGUUCAACGGCCGCGGUAUCCUGACCGUGCGAAGGUAGCGUAAUCACUUGUCUUUUAAAUUGAGACUAGUAUGAAAGGCACCACGAGAAUUAAACUGUCUCCUUUUUCUAAUCUGUGAAACUGAUCCCCCCGUGAAGAAGCGGGGAUUUUGAUAUAAGACGAGAAGACCCUAUGGAGCUUCAGACAAAUAACAAUGCCCUCCCUUUUUUUUCUAAAAAAUACCCGAACAUCUUAAUUAUUUAGUCUUAGGUUGGGGCGACCAUGGAGUAAAAAUCACCCUCCAUGCUGAACAGGACCUCCUUAAAUAAGAGUAACAACUCUAAGAAUCAAUAAAUUGACACAUUUGACCCAAUUACUUGAUCAACGAAACAAGUUACCCUAGG